AUUGAACGCUGGCGGCAUGCCUUACACAUGCAAGUCGAACGGUAACGGGCCUUCGGGUGCCGACGAGUGGCGAACGGGUGAGUAAUACAUCGGAACGUGCCCGAUCGUGGGGGAUAACGAGGCGAAAGCUUUGCUAAUACCGCAUACGAGCUACGGAUGAAAGCAGGGGACCGCAAGGCCUUGCGCGGACGGAGCGGCCGAUGGCAGAUUAGGUAGUUGGUGGGUUAAAAGCUUACCAAGCCGACGAUCUGUAGCUGGUCUGAGAGGAUGAUCAGCCACACUGGGACUGAGACACGGCCCAGACUCCUACGGGAGGCAGCAGUGGGGAAUUUUGGACAAUGGGCGCAAGCCUGAUCCAGCCAUGCCGCGUGCAGGAUGAAGGCCUUCGGGUUGUAAACUGCUUUUGUACGGAACGAAAAGCCUUCUUUUAAUACAGGAGGGUCAUGACGGUACCGUAAGAAUAAGCACCGGCUAACUACGUG
This 482-nucleotide ribosomal RNA is filed under the name uncultured bacterium. Its description in RNAcentral is "partial 16S ribosomal RNA". It matches the Rfam family "Bacterial small subunit ribosomal RNA", at positions 30 to 507 of the family's 1533-position model. The record is from RNAcentral.